Molecule: ribosomal RNA, 441 nt
Filed under: uncultured bacterium
Lineage: Bacteria
Description: bacterial SSU rRNA
Rfam family: Bacterial small subunit ribosomal RNA
Source: RNAcentral
AACGCGAAGAACCUUACCUACCCUUGACAUCCUAAGGAUUCUACAGAGAUGUGGAAGUGCCGAAAGGAACUUAGAGACAGGUGCUGCAUGGCUGUCGUCAGCUCGUGUUGUGAGAUGUUGGGUUAAGUCCCGUAACGAGCGCAACCCUUAUCCUUAGUUACCAACAUGUAAAGAUGGGGACUCUAAGGAGACUGCUGGUGAAGAACCGGAGGAAGGCGGGGACGACGUCAAGUCAUCAUGGCCUUUAUGGGUAGGGCUACACACGUGCUACAAUGGUUGGUACAGAGGGAAGCGAAGUAGUGAUAUGGAGCGAAUCCUUAAAAGCCAAUCGUAGUCCGGAUUGAAGUCUGCAACUCGACUUCAUGAAGUUGGAAUCGCUAGUAAUCGCGAAUCAGAACGUCGCGGUGAAUACGUUCCCGGGCCUUGUACACACCGAUACUC